GACGAACGCUGGCGGCGUGCUUAACACAUGCAAGUCGAACGGAAAGGCCCCUUUUGGGGUCCUCGAGUGGCGCACGGGUGAGUAACACGUGAGUAACCUGCCCUUGACUUCGGGAUAACUUCAGGAAACUGGGGCUAAUACCGGCUAGGAAUCCUUGCUGCAUGGUGGGGGUUGGAAAGCUUCGGCGGUUUUGGAUGGACUCGCGGCUUAUCAGCUUGUUGGUGGGGUAGUGGCUUACCAAGGCUUUGACGGGUAGCCGGCCUGAGAGGGCGACCGGCCACAUUGGGACUGAGAUACGGCCCAGACUCCUACGGGAGGCAGCAGUGGGGAAUAUUGCACAAUGGGCGGAAGCCUGAUGCAGCAACGCCGCGUGCGGGAUGACGGCCUUAGGGUUGUAAACCGCUUUCAGCAGGGGCGAAGCUUGUGGUGACGGUACCUGCAGAAGAAGCACCGGCUAACUACGUG
RNAcentral lists this ribosomal RNA (465 nucleotides) under uncultured bacterium. Its description in RNAcentral is "partial 16S ribosomal RNA". It matches the Rfam family "Bacterial small subunit ribosomal RNA", at positions 28 to 507 of the family's 1533-position model. The record is from RNAcentral.